Molecule: ribosomal RNA, 497 nt
Filed under: uncultured bacterium
Lineage: Bacteria
Description: partial 16S ribosomal RNA
Rfam family: Bacterial small subunit ribosomal RNA
Source: RNAcentral
GACGAACGCUGGCGGCGUGCCUAAUACAUGCAAGUCGAACGCUGAAGAGAGGAGCUUGCUCUUCUUGGAUGAGUUGCGAACGGGUGAGUAACGCGUAGGUAACCUGCCUUGUAGCGGGGGAUAACUAUUGGAAACGAUAGCUAAUACCGCAUAACAAUGGAUGACACAUGUCAUUUAUUUGAAAGGGGCAAUUGCUCCACUACAAGAUGGACCUGCGUUGUAUUAGCUAGUAGGUGAGGUAAUGGCUCACCUAGGCGACGAUACAUAGCCGACCUGAGAGGGUGAGCGGCCACACUGGGACUGAGACACGGCCCAGACGCCUACGGGAGGCAGCAGUAGGGAAUCUUCGGCAAGGGGGGCAACCCUGACCGAGCAACGCCGCGUGAGUGAAGAAGGGUGUCGGAUCGUAAAGCUCUGUUGUAAGUCAAGAACGGGUGUGAGAGUGGAAAGUUCACACUGUGACGGUAGCUGACGAGAAAGGGACGGCUAACUACGUG